This is a non-coding RNA of Acanthosepion pharaonis, 113 nucleotides long. Lineage: Eukaryota; Metazoa; Mollusca; Cephalopoda; Sepiida; Sepiidae. The record is from the annotation of a GenBank genome assembly.
UAUGGCCAUAUCACGUUAAAACAACUGUUCUCGUACCAUCACCGAAGUUAAACGUCGUCAAACCUCGUCAGUACCCAGAUGGGUGACCUCUUGGGAAUACCAGGAGCUGCAAG